RNAcentral lists this unclassified non-coding RNA (440 nucleotides) under Candida albicans. RNAcentral's name for it is "sequence contains 18S rRNA gene, ITS1, 5.8S rRNA gene, ITS2, 28S rRNA gene". The stretch from base 140 to 293 matches the Rfam family "5.8S ribosomal RNA". Lineage: Eukaryota; Fungi; Ascomycota; Pichiomycetes; Serinales; Debaryomycetaceae. The record is from RNAcentral.
CUGAUUUGCUUAAUUGCACCACAUGUGUUUUUCUUUGAAACAAACUUGCUUUGGCGGUGGGCCCAGCCUGCCGCCAGAGGUCUAAACUUACAACCAAUUUUUUAUCAACUUGUCACACCAGAUUAUUACUAAUAGUCAAAACUUUCAACAACGGAUCUCUUGGUUCUCGCAUCGAUGAAGAACGCAGCGAAAUGCGAUACGUAAUAUGAAUUGCAGAUAUUCGUGAAUCAUCGAAUCUUUGAACGCACAUUGCGCCCUCUGGUAUUCCGGAGGGCAUGCCUGUUUGAGCGUCGUUUCUCCCUCAAACCGCUGGGUUUGGUGUUGAGCAAUACGACUUGGGUUUGCUUGAAAGACGGUAGUGGUAAGGCGGGAUCGCUUUGACAAUGGCUUAGGUCUAACCAAAAACAUUGCUUGCGGCGGUAACGUCCACCACGUAUAUC